CCUACGGGUGGCAGCAGUGGGGAAUAUUGGGCAAUGGGCGAAAGCCUGAUGGAGCAACGCCGCGUGCAGGAUGAAGGCCUUCGGGUUGUAAACUGCUUUUAUAAGCGAGAAAUAUGAUGGUAACUUAUGAAUAAGGAUCGGCUAACUACGUGCCAGCAGCCGCGGUCAUACGUAGGAUCCGAGCAUUAUCCGGAUUGACUGGGUGUAAAGAGUUGCGUAGGUGGCAUAAUAAGUAGCUAGUGAAAUCUGGUGGCUCAACCAUUCAGACUAUUAGCUAAACUGUUAAGCUCGAGACCGUUAGGGGUAACUGGAAUUUCUAGUGUAGGAGUGAAAUCCGUAGAUAUUAGAAGGAACACCAAUAGCGUAGGCAGGUUGCUGGGACGGUUCUGACACUAAGGCACGAAAGCGUAGGGAGCAAACGGGAUUAGAUACCCUGGUAGUC
Molecule: ribosomal RNA, 442 nt
Filed under: uncultured bacterium
Lineage: Bacteria
Description: partial 16S ribosomal RNA
Rfam family: Bacterial small subunit ribosomal RNA
Source: RNAcentral